UAAGAAAAUGAAAUGAAAAUGUUCUUACCUUUUUUCUCUCUUUUGUUCAUGCGAGAGUUAAGCCUUUUGAUCCUAGAGCUCUCAACUUCUAGUGAAGAAGAUGAACAUGUAAUAAAAAAUUUAAGGAGAUGAAGGAAAGAUAAACACAACAAUGUAUAGUGGUUCAGUGAUUUAGCUCCACCUACAUCCACUUUAAAGAGAUCCUCAAGUUUUUCAUUCAAAGACUUCAAGAUUAUAAAAGCAUUCAGAUAAGAUCCUCUUCCACACCUACUUCUCUAAAAAUACUCACUGAUUUCUCACAGCUAAAAAUGAAAACCAAACCAUACAUACAUUCUUUACACUUUGUUUUUUUUUCAUACAGAUAGUCGAGGAACAGAAAACAGUUUGUAACAACUUGCUAACUAUUUUCUGUUUGUUUGAACAGGGGUUAAGAAGACAGAGAGCUGAAGAAGAGCUUGGUGUUUUAGGUUCACAUUUUUAAUAAAUCUCCCUCUUAAAGCAAAAACACCUUGAAGAUCUUCAAUAUUCGCACUUAAAGAGGUAGGCAGAGACUUCAGAUUAUCCAAAGCUUCCAGUUCCUUUUGUGAGAUCAAAAAGACCUUGACCUUUUUUAUCCAUGGUGCAAAAUCUCCAACUCCAUUGAACUUCUCAAUUUCGAAUUUAGUAGUGGCCAUUCCAAGAACUUUAAGAAUCUGAUUUGUGUUAUCUCAAAAUUUUCAAGAAAUUGGUCUAUGAUCUCUCAAGAGGUUCAAGAAAACAGAUUUGAGGCUUCAAAAACACCAAGAAGCUAUCAUAUAGCUCUGAUACCAGUUGAUAAAAAUGGACCCAAAAAGAAAGGAACUUUCAGGCCCAAAAACAAGACCUUUUACUGAGUUGAACCAAAAACAUAAACUGAAGGUGGUAGCUAAUGUGUGUGGAGCUCCUUAGGCCAUAUUGCUCAUCAGCAAACAUGUCAUAAGUGAAGAAGAUGAACAUGCAAUAAAAAAUUCAAGGAGAUGAAAGAAAGAUGAACACAACAAUGUAUAGUGGUUCAGUGAUUUAGCUCCACCUACAUCUACUUUAAAGAGAUCCUCAAGUUUUUCAAUUCAAAGACUUCAAGAUUACAAAAGCACUCAGAUAAGUUUCUCUUCCAUAGCUCCCUCCCUAAAAAUACUCACUGAUUUCUCAUAACUAAAAAUGAAAACAAAAACCUUACAUAUAUUUUUUACACUGUUAUUUUUAUACAGAUAGUUGAGGAACAGAAAACAGUUUGUAACAACUUGCUAACUGUUUUCUGUUUGUUUGAAUAGAGGCUAAGAAGACAGAAAGCUAAAGAGGAGCUUGGUGUUUUUGGUUCACAUUUUCAAUAGGUUGUUCAAUACAAACCAAUUAGGAAUGGAUCAAUAGGUGAUUUUGAGGGUUGGUUUCGAAUAUUAUUAAAGACGAUCCAGCACAAAGUCUAUACGAUAGACAUUAUACUCUUCCACUUGCUUGGUCGUUGAGUUCAAUCGUUGUUUCCUCCAAACUCUACCAAUCCAACAGAGCCUACACCUCCUGGAUUCUCACUCCGAGAAUACCAAAGUUACUGAGUGGUGGUGUCUGAAAGGUUUCCUGUUCAUGGAGAAAAUUGUUCGUGGUUGACCAGACGAUCGGGUUGGCGUUCUAAGCGACAGUGAGAGAUUAUUGUACCAGACUCCACGAGAGCGAGAAAAAGUUAGAAGAAACGUUCUUCAAAGAUGAGCAUCAAGUGGGGAGCAUCGAGUGGGUUUUGUUUUGCGGCAGAUUUGGAUGAGCAUCGAGUUCUGGACUAGAUCGAGGACCAGAUCAAGACUUGGAUCGAGUUCGAUCAAGGAUCAAGUUCUACACUGGAUCAAGACUUGGAUCGAGUUCGAUCAAGAAUCGAGUUUGAUCAAGGAUCGAGUUCUUCACAGUGAAGAUCAAAGAUCGAGUUUUGGACCGGAUCGAGGAUCAGGUUCUAGCAUAAAAUUUUUAGACUAGAGUUACAGAAUCAUCAACCAUUAGAGGAAACAAAACCCAAUACAUAAUUGCAUUCUAUUUAGCUAGCUCAAUCUCCUUCAAGUGCAGAAACUAUAAUCGAACAGCAACCAAACACAAAUAGUAAUCAAUUGCCAAUGGAAAAACGCAAAAAGGAAAAUCUAAAAUCAAAUAAAAAAGAAAAUGAAAAUGGAUCUAAGUAUGAGUAAAGAGAGGAAAAUCACACUCACCAAAGUUGCUGCAACCGACAGAGACGAUGGAAAAUCAGUCGUCGAAGUAGAAUGCAGGCAUACAUUUUAGGGAAUUGCACGAAGUUGAUAAUGAUAAAGAGAGGAAUGAGAACGAUAUGGGUUUCAAGUGUUGAAAGUUCUAAUUUGAGAAUAUAAGGGUUGAGAUUUGAGAGAAAGAAGAUUGGUAUUUUAUGUGGAGA
This is a long non-coding RNA of Benincasa hispida (wax gourd), 2404 nucleotides long. RefSeq lists it as uncharacterized. The record is from RefSeq and is a predicted model, not a curated record. NCBI's taxonomy places the organism in Eukaryota, Viridiplantae, Streptophyta, Magnoliopsida, Cucurbitales, Cucurbitaceae.